UGGCUCAGGAUGAACGCUAGCGGCAGGCUUAACACAUGCAAGUCGAGGGGUAUAAGUCUUCGGAUUUAGAGACCGGCGCACGGGUGCGUAACGCGUAUGCAAUCUACCUUUUACAGAGGGAUAGCCCAGAGAAAUUUGGAUUAAUACCUCAUAGCAUAGCAGCUUCGCAUGAAGCCACUAUUAAAGUCACAACGGUAAAAGAUGAGCAUGCGUCCCAUUAGCUAGUUGGUAAGGUAACGGCUUACCAAGGCUACGAUGGGUAGGGGUCCUGAGAGGGAGAUCCCCCACACUGGUACUGAGACACGGACCAGACUCCUACGGGAGGCAGCAGUGAGGAAUAUUGGACAAUGGGCGCAAGCCUGAUCCAGCCAUGCCGCGUGCAGGAUGACGGUCCUAUGGAUUGUAAACUGCUUUUAUACGAGAAGAAACACUCCUUCGUGAAGGAGCUUGACGGUAUCGUAAGAAUAAGGAUCGGCUAACUC
This 482-nucleotide ribosomal RNA is filed under the name Flavobacterium sp. WB4.1-59. Its description in RNAcentral is "bacterial SSU rRNA". It matches the Rfam family "Bacterial small subunit ribosomal RNA", at positions 20 to 503 of the family's 1533-position model. The record is from RNAcentral. Lineage: Bacteria; Pseudomonadati; Bacteroidota; Flavobacteriia; Flavobacteriales; Flavobacteriaceae.